GCGGCAGCCGGGUCCCGCGGAACUAGAGCGCGCGGCCACCUCCCCGCCUACGCCACGCCACGCGGGACCACUCGGCUUCCUUUCGCUUUUGCUUGGGACGGCGACUGGUGGGUGCGGCGGGAGACGCGGGACCCCGCGGGGGUGGCCGGCUCUUGGGCAAGUCCCGCCAAGUUGGCUGAAUUCCCAGCUCCUCCUUCCCCUGGGGGUUUUCCCUCCGAGCCCUCCCUCCCUCUCUCCCUCUCUCUCUCUCUCCUGUGCUCACUGAGCUUCCUUCCAGCGUCUAGCCACCGGUGAUGCGCACCCCAUCAGGUCGUGCUGUGGAUGCAAGGGUUCAGGCAGAGGGGCUCAAGUGAUGUUUGGGCCACCGGGCAUAGACGUCACACGCACCUGUGCGAUAAGCACAGGGAAAGACAAAUCGCAUAGUAGCCUGAUAGCACAGUGACUGGGGCAAGAAAAAGGCGAGAGAGCGAGUAGAAAGAGUGAGGUACACAUGAGAUAUCCCUGCUUCCAGCUGAGAACUCCAAUCUUGCCCAGGCUGGCCCCCGACAGUGGUGCUUCAUACAAAGACAACCUUUACACAGUGCACAAGAGAUGCUCCCAACACUGGGCCUUUGAGCCUAUGAUUUCACAGCUCAUGCAGUUUCCUGGUUGGCUACUGGAUCAAUGUCAGCUCACCUUCCGACAAGUACUGACUAAGCCACCCCACCCUGCCUUCCUUGCCAUGAUGCCUUUCCCUGGAACCAUGAGCCUAAAAAAAUCUUUCCUCACUCAGGCA
Molecule: long non-coding RNA, 775 nt
Organism: Mastomys coucha (southern multimammate mouse)
Lineage: Eukaryota; Metazoa; Chordata; Mammalia; Rodentia; Muridae
Exons: 3
Source: RefSeq, a predicted model, not a curated record